Molecule: ribosomal RNA, 524 nt
Filed under: uncultured Hanseniaspora
Lineage: Eukaryota; Fungi; Ascomycota; Saccharomycetes; Saccharomycodales; Saccharomycodaceae
Description: eukaryotic LSU rRNA
Rfam family: Eukaryotic large subunit ribosomal RNA
Source: RNAcentral
AAACCAACUGGGAUUACCUUAGUAACGGCGAGUGAAGCGGUAAAAGCUCAAAUUUGAAAUCUGGUACUUUCAGUGCCCGAGUUGUAAUUUGUAGAAUUUGUCUUUGAUUAGGUCCUUGUCUAUGUUCCUUGGAACAGGACGUCAUAGAGGGUGAGAAUCCCGUUUGGCGAGGAUACCUUUUCUCUGUAAGACUUUUUCGAAGAGUCGAGUUGUUUGGGAAUGCAGCUCAAAGUGGGUGGUAAAUUCCAUCUAAAGCUAAAUAUUGGCGAGAGACCGAUAGCGAACAAGUACAGUGAUGGAAAGAUGAAAAGAACUUUGAAAAGAGAGUGAAAAAGUACGUGAAAUUGUUGAAAGGGAAGGGCAUUUGAUCAGACAUGGUGUUUUUGCAUGCACUCGCCUCUCGUGGGCUUGGGCCUCUCAAAAAUUUCACUGGGCCAACAUCAAUUCUGGCAGCAGGAUAAACUCAUUAAGAAUGUAGCUACUUCGGUAGUGUUAUAGCUUUUUGGAAUACUGUUAGCCGGGUA